Molecule: transfer RNA, 75 nt
Filed under: Candidatus Sungbacteria bacterium GWC2_49_10
Lineage: Bacteria; Candidatus Sungiibacteriota
Description: tRNA-Thr
Rfam family: tRNA
About the family: Transfer RNA (tRNA) molecules are approximately 80 nucleotides in length. Their secondary structure includes four short double-helical elements and three loops (D, anti-codon, and T loops). Further hydrogen bonds mediate the characteristic L-shaped molecular structure. tRNAs have two regions of fundamental functional importance: the anti-codon, which is responsible for specific mRNA codon recognition, and the 3' end, to which the tRNAs corresponding amino acid is attached (by aminoacyl-tRNA synthetases). tRNAs cope with the degeneracy of the genetic code in two manners: having more than one tRNA (with a specific anti-codon) for a particular amino acid; and 'wobble' base-pairing, i.e. permitting non-standard base-pairing at the 3rd anti-codon position.
Source: RNAcentral
GCCGAGGUAGCUCAGCGGUAGAGCAACUGUUUCGUAAACAGUAGGUCGCGAGUUCGAUUCUCGCCCUCGGCUUCA